RNAcentral lists this ribosomal RNA (472 nucleotides) under uncultured bacterium. RNAcentral's name for it is "partial 16S ribosomal RNA". It matches the Rfam family "Bacterial small subunit ribosomal RNA", at positions 28 to 507 of the family's 1533-position model. The record is from RNAcentral.
GACGAACGCUGGCGGCGUGCUUAACACAUGCAAGUCGAACGCUGAAGCUUGGUGCUUGCACUGGGUGGAUGAGUGGCGAACGGGUGAGUAAUACGUGAGUAACCUGCCCUUGACUCUGGGAUAAGCCUGGGAAACCGGGUCUAAUACUGGAUAUGACAUGCCACUGCAUGGUGGUGUGUGGAAAGGGUGUUCCUGGUUUUGGCUGGGCUCACGGCCUAUCAGCUUGUUGGUGGGGUAAUGGCCUACCAAGGCGACGACGGGUAGCCGGCCUGAGAGGGUGACCGGCCACACUGGGACUGCGACACGGACCAGACUCCUACGGUAGGCAGCAGUGGGGAGUAUUGCGCAAUGGGCGGAAGCGUGAUGCAGCGACGCCGCGUGCGGGAUGACGGCCUUCGGGUUGUAAACCUCUUUCAGCGCGGAAGAAGCGAGAGUGACGGUACGUGAAGAAGAAGCGCCGGCUAACUACGUG